ACGGCCUCGACCUAUUCUCGAACUCCGAACGGGCAAGGAGCCGGGGUCGCCCGAUCGGACCCCGGACGUGAAGUCGACGAUGGUCGGUGGGCUGGUUUUGGUAAGCAGAACGGGCGAUUCGGGAUGAACCGGAAGCGGGGAGAAAGGGCCCGAGAUUGCGUCGACGCGGAUCCCGAAAAGGGCGUCGAUCCGUCGCGACAGCGGGACGGUGGUCAUGGAAGUCGAAAUCCGCUAAGAAGCGUGUAAAAACGUACCCGCCCAACGGAUCGGCCCCGAAAAUUGAUGGCGCUCGAACGCAACCCUCGAACCCCGCCGACGGAGGCUAGGGGAGGCCCCGUCGAGUAGGCGGACGCGCGGGUCGCUUCGACGCUCCCGCGCGAGCGGGGGCGGAGCGGCCCGUGGUGCAGAUCUUGGUGGUAGUAGCGAUCACCCAGGCGAGAACCCUGAGGGCCGAAGUGGAGAAGGGUUUCUCGAGAACGGCACUCGCUCGAGAGUUAGUCGAUCCUAAGCUGCCGGCGGCAGCCACGAAACGGUCGAUCGGGCGCGAGCCC
Molecule: ribosomal RNA, 551 nt
Filed under: uncultured eukaryote
Lineage: Eukaryota
Description: eukaryotic LSU rRNA
Rfam family: Eukaryotic large subunit ribosomal RNA
Source: RNAcentral